AGAUUGAACGCUGGCGGCAGGCCUAACACAUGCAAGUCGAGCGGCAGCACGGGUACUUGUACCUGGUGGCGAGCGGCGGACGGGUGAGUAAUGCCUAGGAAUCUGCCUGGUAGUGGGGGAUAACGCUCGGAAACGGACGCUAAUACCGCAUACGUCCUACGGGAGAAAGCAGGGGACCUUCGGGCCUUGCGCUAUCAGAUGAGCCUAGGUCGGAUUAGCUAGUUGGUGAGGUAAUCGGCUACCCCGAAGGCGACGAUCCGUAACUGGUCUGAGAGGAUGAUCAGUCACACUGGAGUCUGAGACACGGUCCAAGACCUACCCGUACGGGAGGCAAGGCUAAGGUCGGGGAAAUUACGUU
This 358-nucleotide ribosomal RNA is filed under the name uncultured soil bacterium. Its description in RNAcentral is "bacterial SSU rRNA". It matches the Rfam family "Bacterial small subunit ribosomal RNA", at positions 26 to 370 of the family's 1533-position model. The record is from RNAcentral.